Molecule: ribosomal RNA, 382 nt
Filed under: uncultured soil bacterium
Lineage: Bacteria
Description: bacterial SSU rRNA
Rfam family: Bacterial small subunit ribosomal RNA
Source: RNAcentral
AGGACGAACGCUGGCGGCGUGCUUAACACAUGCAAGUCGAGCGGUAAGGCCUUUCGGGGUACACGAGCGGCGAACGGGUGAGUAACACGUGGGUGAUCUGCCCUGCACUUCGGGAUAAGCCUGGGAAACUGGGUCUAAUACCGGAUAUGACCUCCUAUCGCAUGGUGGUGGUGGAAAGAUUUAUCGGUGCAGGAUGGGCCCGCGGCCUAUCAGCUUGUUGGUGGGUAAUGGCCUACGAAGGCGACGACGGGUAGCCGACCUGAGAGGGUGACCGGCACGACUGGGACUGAGACACGGCCCAGACUCCUACGGGAGGCAGCAGUGGGGAAUAGUUGACACGAAAGUGGGACGAACGCCUGGAUGGCAGCGACGCCGCGGUAGA